RNAcentral lists this ribosomal RNA (871 nucleotides) under Cortinarius sp. 7 TM03_443. RNAcentral's name for it is "eukaryotic LSU rRNA". It matches the Rfam family "Eukaryotic large subunit ribosomal RNA", at positions 75 to 932 of the family's 3401-position model. Lineage: Eukaryota; Fungi; Basidiomycota; Agaricomycetes; Agaricales; Cortinariaceae. The record is from RNAcentral.
UUCCCCUAGUAACUGCGAGUGAAGCGGGAAAAGCUCAAAUUUAAAAUCUGGCAGCCUUUGGUUGUCCGAGUUGUAAUCUAGAGAAGUGUUAUCCGCGCUGGACCGUGUACAAGUCUCCUGGAAUGGAGCGUCAUAGAGGGUGAGAAUCCCGUCUUUGACACGGACUGCCAGGGCUUUGUGAUGCGCUCUCAAAGAGUCGAGUUGUUUGGGAAUGCAGCUCAAAAUGGGUGGUAAAUUCCAUCUAAAGCUAAAUAUUGGCGAGAGACCGAUAGCGAACAAGUACCGUGAGGGAAAGAUGAAAAGAACUUUGGAAAGAGAGUUAAACAGUACGUGAAAUUGCUGAAAGGGAAACGCUUGAAGUCAGUCGCGUUGUCCAGGGAUCAACCUUGCUUUUGCUUGGUGCACUUUCUGGUUGACGGGUCAGCAUCAAUUUUGACUAUUGGAAAAAGAUUAGGGGAAUGUGGCAUCUUUGGAUGUGUUAUAGCCCUUAGUUGCAUACAAUGGUUGGGAUUGAGGAACUCAGCACGCCGCAAGGCCGGGUUUUUAACCACGUACGUGCUUAGGAUGCUGGCAUAAUGGCUUUAAUCGACCCGUCUUGAAACACGGACCAAGGAGUCUAACAUGCCUGCGAGUGUUUGGGUGGAAAACCCGAGCGCGUAAUGAAAGUGAAAGUUGAGAUCCCUGUCGUGGGGAGCAUCGACGCCCGGACCAGACCUUUUGUGACGGUUCCGCGGUAGAGCAUGUAUGUUGGGACCCGAAAGAUGGUGAACUAUGCCUGAAUAGGGUGAAGCCAGAGGAAACUCUGGUGGAGGCUCGUAGCGAUUCUGACGUGCAAAUCGAUCGUCAAAUUUGGGUAUAGGGGCGAAAGACU